Molecule: small nuclear RNA, 146 nt
Filed under: Lupinus angustifolius (narrow-leaved blue lupine)
Lineage: Eukaryota; Viridiplantae; Streptophyta; Magnoliopsida; Fabales; Fabaceae
Description: snRNA U4
Rfam family: U4 spliceosomal RNA
About the family: U4 small nuclear RNA (U4 snRNA) is a component of the major U2-dependent spliceosome. The structure of U4 snRNA from yeast and human has been reported. U4 snRNA presents a k-turn RNA motif in the 5p-SL related to recognition of Snu13 protein.
Source: Rfam by way of RNAcentral
AUCUUUAUGCUUGGGGCAAUGACUCAGCUGGUUCUAACCAAGGUGUGUCUAUUGCUGAUUGAAAACUAUUUCCAAACCCCCUCUUAUGCAUGGGUACAGCUGUGGCCUUGGAGAAUUUAUGGAAGGGCUCCCUUUCGGGUAAAGCC